GCCCGUUGGUCAAGCGGUUAAGACACCGCCCUUUCACGGCGGUAACACGGGUUCGAAUCCCGUACGGGUCAUCCA
RNAcentral lists this transfer RNA (75 nucleotides) under Bacillus subtilis. RNAcentral describes it as "tRNA-Glu". It matches the Rfam family "tRNA". From Rfam's summary of the family: Transfer RNA (tRNA) molecules are approximately 80 nucleotides in length. Their secondary structure includes four short double-helical elements and three loops (D, anti-codon, and T loops). Lineage: Bacteria; Bacillati; Bacillota; Bacilli; Caryophanales; Bacillaceae. The record is from RNAcentral.